Long non-coding RNA from Takifugu rubripes (torafugu), 2151 nucleotides. The record is from Ensembl. Lineage: Eukaryota; Metazoa; Chordata; Actinopteri; Tetraodontiformes; Tetraodontidae.
CGACAGUGUGCGAGGACGUGUGAACGAGAGUGUGUUUUUUUCCCCUGCAGGGCCACCGUUUGAUGAGGGAUGAGUCAUCCGGAAGGAGACACCGAGGAAGACUGGCAGCUGGGAACUUCUGCAGGGCCCGGAGAGGAGUCAACCUUCAUCAGCAACAAAUCGAGUCUGAUCCUAACCACAACAAGAGAUGCGACACCGGAGCGACAGCAGGGCACCGCGCUCACGAGGCUGAGCUAAAAACUGCAAAACUUUACAUCAGACCUUUUUUUUUUAGAUGGGUUUGUCCAAGAAUAAAAAGAGAAUGUGCAGACUCUGAUCACAUGGCAGACCGCGAUGAUUUCCUCUGCACGGUAGCGAUCUCCUUUUUAUUUAUUCUGUCUGGCGAGCCAAGCGGCUACAUCAUAGCACUGCCUGCCGGGAUCCAGUCCUGAUAAAUUGGAGUGCUCUGGUACUCCCCCAUUAGGAGAGAGGGUUUCCUGUGGUCCUGUCCAUUAAUGCAUUAUUGAAGAGCUCGCUAGCAUAUCCAGAAGGAGACAUGUGAGGCAUGUGAGACGCCACACACCAGCGCUUCCUGUCUUCCAGUAAGGAGAAGCCGCGUGACCUGGCCAGCAGGAAACCAUGUGAUGCAGCAGUUCAGACCACCAGACCCAAAGAAUUACAGAGAGGCAACAGUGGAGAGCCAGUAAAUCAAAGACUGUAAAAUGUAUUUGGAUUGUUUUUCCCCUUGUUUUGGCUGAGGCGUUGGAAAACCAUCUGCCGAAUUUCGUUUUACAGGCCAGCGAGGACUCACUUUGCUCUGCGCCGUUUCCAGCGCGAUAACCAAGCGGUGGGAUGGAAACCACAGCGACUGGGCGAAGUUUGCACAAUGCUUGUUGUGUCUGAGUGGCACAGGAAGAUGCCGCGUCUCCCCUGAAUCUCAAUGCUGCAGCAGGGCUUUGAUUUCAGGGAACUUUCCUCAGGUGCCUUGCAGUGAGGAAAAUCCUGCCUUUUUUCAUCUGCGACAAAGUAACAGCGAUAAAGCGUUUGAUGUCGAGGCCAAGAACACACGGAUGAAGCGCUGCUGCACUUUGAAGCUCCUUGUUGUUCAGCCACACUUGAGAAUUCAUUUCAUGUCCUGAUAGUGCGUCACAUGAUGAGUCCAAGCAUGAAAGGCGAAGCAAGGCUGGGAAUCAAAAAAAAAAAGUCAUUUUUGCACCCCUGGUUGUGUGCCGCCUGUCACCAUAUGCUACGUGAUGCUUCAUCCUGCCCCGCACUCGCGGCUGCCGAGAGCAACCUCUCUGCAACAAGGACCAUAAAUAAAGUGCGCAGCAGCACGCUAGGUAGAGGCGCAGGAAGAAAGAAAGAGCGUGCCGAGAUCCCGGUGAAGCCCGUGCGCAAGCACAAUGGUUAGAGCUCAUGAAGAGCGGCAGGCAUUUCACACAUACACGCACCUGCACACACACACACACACACACACACACACACACACAUGCGCGUGCAUGCAAAGCUACACUGGGAGAGUGGGAAGAGCAAUGGAAAGUCUGAGUCAUGAGCACUCCACUUACCAUUCUGACCCUAAAUCAUUGUGGCAUUGAGUCACUGCAGGGCUUACUGAGUAUUCAUUUGUGUGUCUGCAUGUGUGAACGAGUUUGAAAUGCAAGACGGUGAAAAUGAAGACCUGCGUGGUUUCAUGUUGUCUGCGUGCACAGCGUGCUCCUGUUUGCAUGCAGCAGGUACAGAAUGUAUACAGUAGACAGGCUGUGGUUGAGGGUGUGCCACAAGAGGAAACUCCUUUUAUGAGUGGAAAAUGAACGUGUCCGUCCAUCUUACAGCAGUUAAAACGCAGUUCGGCCUCAAACUCGAGUUGAAAUGGCAACCGAAUCACAUCAUCUCUAAAGGGUUUGGAUAUUCCCGGGCACCAGGUCGAUUGUACAAAUACAGGCGCAUCGAGGCAGCAUUCUAAUGAGAGGGCGUCGUGACUGGCAGGAGCAGUCAGACAUGUUUGUGGUUGAUAAGCAGGAUGUUGAGAUGAAAACCAAUGUCAUUAUGCAUUGCCCAUGUUGUCUGGUGAGCCGCCGUCACUCAGCAUGCUGUACUGUUUGGAGCUCUUUGGAUGGAAUUACAAAGUUUGCGGCCGCUCUUCCAACCACCAGGAGAGGACUGUGCGGUCAC